RNAcentral lists this ribosomal RNA (497 nucleotides) under uncultured bacterium. Its description in RNAcentral is "partial 16S ribosomal RNA". It matches the Rfam family "Bacterial small subunit ribosomal RNA", at positions 28 to 507 of the family's 1533-position model. The record is from RNAcentral.
GAUGAACGCUGGCGGCGUGCCUAAUACAUGCAAGUCGAGCGAACAGACGAGGAGCUUGCUCCUCUGACGUUAGCGGCGGACGGGUGAGUAACACGUGGAUAACCUACCUAUAAGACUGAGAUAACUUCGGGAAACCGGAGCUAAUACCGGAUAAUAUAUUGAACCGCAUGGUUCAAUAGUGAAAGACGGUUUUGCUGUCACUUAUAGAUGGAUCCGCGCCGCAUUAGCUAGUUGGUAAGGUAACGGCUUACCAAGGCAACGAUGCGUAGCCGACCUGAGAGUGUGAUCGGCCACACUGGAACUGAGACACGGUCCAGACUCCUACGGGAGGCAGCAGUAGGGAAUCGUCCGCAAUGGGCGAAAGCUUGACGGAGCAACGCCGCGUGAGUGAUGAAGGUCUUCGGAUCGUAAAACUCUGUUAUUAGGGAAGAACAAAUGUGUAAGUAACUAUGCACGUCUUGACGGUACCUAAUCAGAAAGCCACGGCUAACUACGUG